Osmia bicornis bicornis is the source of this 1303-nucleotide long non-coding RNA. RefSeq lists it as uncharacterized. The transcript is spliced from 6 exons. NCBI's taxonomy places the organism in Eukaryota, Metazoa, Arthropoda, Insecta, Hymenoptera, Megachilidae. The record is from RefSeq and is a predicted model, not a curated record.
AUUUUUUUUUUUUAUUUAACGCAUAUUGUAGAAUAAUUCCUGAUAAUUUAGGUUCCAGGAAAAGCAGAAAUUCAGUAACGUAGCAUCGAAGGAGCAAUUAUUUAAUGUCAUCCAACGUCCGUCCGACGAUAUCAUCUGCCCUACGCUCUUUAGACCACGAAUUCUCAAGAAGUUUGUUUGCCUUACAGCGAACGAUCCGACGAAAGAGGAGCGUCACGGCCAUCUUGUCUUUGCCUUCGAGCUGAAUCCCUGCAACGGCUGUUCCUUCGCUCUAAUUAAACUCUUCACGAUAUCGCUAAAACCUUUUCGAUAUUCUUAAUUUUUAAAGAAAUAAGAGACCACACUCUUCGAAGCGUACGAGACUCUUGGCAAUGGACCUCGUGCCUUAAGGGUUGAAAGUGAAGUGGUCGUCUUUUCUCUCAGAGGCCAACCCUCCGGAGAUAGUGGCGCCCAACAGUGUUUACCAUUUUUACUGCUUCCAAGAUUUCCUCGCGACGUUUUCUGCGACAGCUUCAAGUGGCCCUUGGAAAAACUAUGUAAUUGAGUCCUAGAUGUCUAGGAGGAAAAAUUAUAUUGAAGAAAAAACAUCCAGCUCCGUUUCUGCUUUGAGACGACAACAUAUUGAAGCUAUCCGUUUAGAGCUUCCAUCAGCGGUCGAGUACCUGUCGGAUACUACCUGAGCUACUCCCGGAGGUGCAUGCGCCGCGGCAUCCUUUAAGGAAACUGAUAUCUUUUCUCUGGUCGUUUCUCACGGGCAUCCUUGAGACGUAGACAUCGGGGCGGGCUGUUUUCACCACUUUAGAAAAAUCGAAUCGCCCCGAAGAGCGACAAGCGAAGGGUGAGAGGUCUACGUUGGUGGUAAUCAUCCAGGAUCGAUCUCUCCAGAAGCUCGUAAAUUUCUGUGAAACCGACGCGCCGUUCGUCGUGGUUUCCUCGAGCACCGUCUAAUUUCCCCUGGAUUUCUGCAGUCCAUCCUUGGCGUACAGUGUCUGGAUAGUGUUUCUUUUGCGUAAGAUCAGGCCUCGUCGGUGGAACAGUUCUAAAGAGGAACGGAGAGGGAAUACCAGCUCUCAAAAUAAGACAUGUUUAUCCGCUGAUGCUGCUAUUUUGGAAAGCGCGCAAGUCCCUCUCCUAUACGUGUAUUCUGGGUCAUUAAGGACAGCAGAUGAGAGACUGUGUUUCGAAGUAUGUACUACAUCUAUUUUACUAAUCACAACAUAAUGGUGGUACAUUGUGAUGUAACAUCCUCUAGAAAAGCUCGUACCUCUUCAUGAAAUAUAAUUCAACGUGUGACGGGUAAGAU